CUGGUAGUCCACGCCCUAAACGAUGUCUAUUUGGAGGUUGUUCCCCUGAGGAGUGGCUUCCGGAGCUAACGCGUUAAAUAGACCGCCUGGGGAGUACGGCCGCAAGGUUAAAACUCAAAUGAAUUGACGGGGGCCCGCACAAGCGGUGGAGCAUGUGGUUUAAUUCGAUGCAACGCGAAGAACCUUACCUGGUCUUGACAUCCACGGAACUUUCCAGG
This 218-nucleotide ribosomal RNA is filed under the name Citrobacter sp. HB1. Its description in RNAcentral is "partial 16S ribosomal RNA". It matches the Rfam family "Bacterial small subunit ribosomal RNA", at positions 787 to 1004 of the family's 1533-position model. The record is from RNAcentral. Lineage: Bacteria; Pseudomonadati; Pseudomonadota; Gammaproteobacteria; Enterobacterales; Enterobacteriaceae.